AUGCCCUUGUCUAUGAGUAGGAAACAUGAAUUCAGAGGAAGCUGCACAAAUUCCCAGAAGAACUACAAGGUCUUUAGCUUCAUCUUCUGCAUAAAUUUCUGCUUUAUCUUUAGUUAAGUUUUGUUUGCUUUCUAUUUUUUUUUGGUCUUUAGUUUCAUCCUAUAUUAUUAUUAGUUAACUGGUUUCAAUUUUGUUCCUUGGGUUUGAUUUUCUUCUCUAAAAUCCCUCGUUGAAUCAUGGAUAAGAGCAUGUUAGCUGGUUUGGAAUCACUUCUAGAAGCUG
Molecule: non-coding RNA, 282 nt
Organism: Arachis ipaensis
Lineage: Eukaryota; Viridiplantae; Streptophyta; Magnoliopsida; Fabales; Fabaceae
Source: RefSeq, a predicted model, not a curated record